RNAcentral lists this unclassified non-coding RNA (298 nucleotides) under uncultured fungus. Its description in RNAcentral is "partial contains small subunit ribosomal RNA, internal transcribed spacer 1, and 5.8S ribosomal RNA". The stretch from base 1 to 73 matches the Rfam family "Eukaryotic small subunit ribosomal RNA", at positions 1759 to 1831 of the family's 1831-position model. Lineage: Eukaryota; Fungi. The record is from RNAcentral.
GCAAACUUGGUCAUUUAGAGGAAGUAAAAGUCGUAACAAGGUUUCCGUAGGUGAACCUGCGGAAGGAUCAUUACCAAAUCUUGUGCACCUUCUUGUAGUGGACCAUUGCCCACCAACAUCUGCAUCCUGGAUGCUGGUGGGGCCCUUUGGUCUGCUACGUCUUUCAAUCAUUAAACCUGUCUGUCAGCUUAUGUUGGGGUAAAAGCACCCUUUUGUUGCUUUGCCCCUUAAAUGUGUAAAUAUUGACAUAACUUUCAACAACGGAUCUCUUGGCUCUCGCAUCGAUGAAGAACGCAGC